AAGCAAAAAAGGCAAAUUUAUACGCAAGUAUUGCACUCGUUACAGAAGUGAGAAAACAUUCCGCUCCAACGUUAAAACUCUGUCAACUCAAAAGUUCAAACUUUAAUAAAAAUUCAGUGGAC
Molecule: long non-coding RNA, 122 nt
Organism: Hibiscus syriacus
Lineage: Eukaryota; Viridiplantae; Streptophyta; Magnoliopsida; Malvales; Malvaceae
Exons: 2
Source: RefSeq, a predicted model, not a curated record